GUCUGUUUGGAGAUAUAAAAGUCUGGCCUGCCCGCUGAUAUUUAAGUUUAAGGGCCGCGGUAUUAUGACCGUGCAAAGGUAGCAUAAUCAUUAGGUUUUUAAAUGGAAUCUUGUAUGAAUGGUUGAACAAAAGAAAAGCUGUCUUUAAAAUAAUAUUUGAAUUUAACUUUUAAGUGAGAAGGCUUAAAUAUUCUAGGGGGACGAUAAGACCCUAUAAAGCUUUAUAUUAUGGCUAUAUUUAAUUAAAUUUGGUUAAUAAAAGUUUAAUUUAAUUAUUAUAUUAUGUUGGGGAGAUAUUAGUAAAAUUUUAGAUAACUGCUAGAAAAAGAGACAAAUAUAAGUGACUAAAAUAAUAGGAGAUCCUAAGUAUAGAUUAAAAGAUUAAGUUACUUUAGGGAUAACAGUGUAAUUUUUUUUGAGAGUUCAUAUCGAAAAAAAAGUUUGCAACCUCGAUGUUGAAUUAAGAUAUCUUUAUAAUGUAGAUGUUAUAUUAGAAGGUCUGUUCGACCUUUAAAUUUUUACAUGAUUUGAGUUCAGAUCGGCGUGAG
RNAcentral lists this ribosomal RNA (548 nucleotides) under Sartoriana spinigera. RNAcentral's name for it is "partial 16S ribosomal RNA". It matches the Rfam family "Bacterial large subunit ribosomal RNA", at positions 1829 to 2625 of the family's 2925-position model. Lineage: Eukaryota; Metazoa; Arthropoda; Malacostraca; Decapoda; Gecarcinucidae. The record is from RNAcentral.